GAUGAACGCUAGCUACAGGCUUAACACAUGCAAGUCGAGGGGUAACGAGAGGAAAGCUUGCUUUCCCUGUCGACGACCGGCGCACGGGUGAGUAACGCGUAUCCAACCUGCCCCCAACUAAGGAAUAACCUUGCGAAAGUAAGACUAAUACCUUAUAAUUUCCUCAGAUGACAUCUGACGAGGAAUAAAGAUUUAUCGGUUGUGGAUGGGGAUGCGUCUGAUUAGCUUGUUGGCGGGGUAACGGCCCACCAAGGCAACGAUCAGUAGGGGUUCUGAGAGGAAGGUCCCCCACAUUGGAACUGAGACACGGUCCAAACUCCUACGGGAGGCAGCAGUGAGGAAUAUUGGUCAAUGGGCGGAAGCCUGAACCAGCCAAGUAGCGUGCAGGAUGACGGCCCUAUGGGUUGUAAACUGCUUUUAUACAGGAAUAAAGUUAGCCACGUGUGGUUAUUUGUAGGUACUGUAUGAAUAAGGACCGGCUAAUUCCGUGCCAGCCGCCGCCGUAA
This 506-nucleotide ribosomal RNA is filed under the name uncultured bacterium. Its description in RNAcentral is "partial 16S ribosomal RNA". It matches the Rfam family "Bacterial small subunit ribosomal RNA", at positions 28 to 523 of the family's 1533-position model. The record is from RNAcentral.